RNAcentral lists this ribosomal RNA (357 nucleotides) under Triticum aestivum (bread wheat). RNAcentral describes it as "partial small subunit ribosomal RNA". Lineage: Eukaryota; Viridiplantae; Streptophyta; Magnoliopsida; Poales; Poaceae. The record is from RNAcentral.
AUGCUCCGCGGCGAUCGGGAUCCGUAUACCGAGUCGCCGGCUCCCGGCACGACGACGAGGCACGAGAAAGAGAGAGAGGGAGAAGGACCGGGCGGGCGGGAAGGAGGGGAGCUAGCCAAACCUGUGGUGGCCGGUGCGGAGAAGAAGAGCACCGCCGCGAGCAGCACGGCGCAGCAGGCCGCGGAUCUGGAGCUCCCGGCGACGCCACCAACCGGCGCCAUUUUUCCUGCCCCGCUGCUCCUCCACCGACACUCUCCAGCAGCUGCUGCACCUACCCACCCACCGAUCCCCGCUCCGCUCCGUGCGGCGAGGAAUGCGGCCGCGCCCGCCGAUGAAGGGGGGGAGCUGGAGAUCUGA